This 263-nucleotide unclassified non-coding RNA is filed under the name Hevea brasiliensis (rubber tree). Lineage: Eukaryota; Viridiplantae; Streptophyta; Magnoliopsida; Malpighiales; Euphorbiaceae. The record is from RNAcentral.
AAGAACUCAACACAGGAAGAUCACUGCAAGUGCUGAAUACUUGAUUGCUAGAAAAGUUAUAGCUCCGGCAAGUUUGAGCAAAAGAUGAAGGAACACAUAUGGAGAUAAGCAUGACACAAGAGAACACAACAGUUCUCGAAAAUUUAUCCAUGGUUAAUCAAAUAAUGAAAAAAGGAUAUGAUCAAUUGCAGAGAUGUCUCGAUGGAUUGAGAGGGAACAAGUUCUCAGUAUGUGGGUAUGUGCUAAAAUUGUUUCCUGACGUG